AUGGUGCUGUCAGCUCUCCCUCCGCUCCCGAGUGCUUCAGCCAUCACAAGGAUGUUCCACCGCCUCCCUGAUCCUCCCCUGCAGGUCCCCUGGCUGCUGGACAUGGUGGUGUCCCGGGUGGCAGAGGUGGCCUCCCUGACACUCUCUGGCCGGGUCAUCGUCUUUCCUGAGUUUAAGUUGGAGUUUAUCCACAAACCACCUCCCAGGAAACCAUCCAAGGCAUCCAGGGAAGUGCCUGGUGAGGGCAAGAUGGAGAAAGAAGAGGGUUUGGGUGUGCCACCUCUUGGCCGGGACAAGAAAGGGCCAGGAAAGAUCCCUGAGCAGCCAUCCUUACAUGGCCGACGGAGCACUGCCCAUAGAGGAGGCACAGGUUCUUUUCCCAAAACAAGGGUGGAGCAGAAGAAGAGCUCUGUGCCCAGUCAAGUUCCAGCGCUCCCGGCGGUGUCUUCACCCAAAAAGAUGGCUGUGCCCAGCAAAACCCAGAGUGAAGGCACGACCAAAAGCACUGCACCACCCACGGGUCCAGCACGGGCAAUAAAACCCCACAGGUGCACAGAGGAACAAGGUGCGGUGAGGCCGGCACUGAGCAGCCAAGGUCAGCACAAGCUGACAGCACAAAGUAAAGCAGCAGAGCCAGGCCGCACUCGUGGAGUGGAACCUCAGAGCUGCCAGGAAGGAAGAGGAGCAGCAAAGCCGGUGCUGAGCAGCAAAAGUGAUGGGAAACACACAGCCAGAGCUCCAGCACAAGGCUUGGGUCGGGCUCAGGCUGCUGGAGCUCAGUGGGUCAGAAAACAAGCAGUGAAGCCAGCACUGAGCAGCCAGCUUCAGGGCAAAGUCAUCACCAAAGGGAAGGCUCCAGAAAUACGUCCAGCACAGCCUCAGAGUUUGAAAGAAGAAAGAGGGGUGGUGAGACCGGCACCAAUGAGUCAGUUUGUGGGCAAAUCCAUAGCCAAAGCUCCAGUACCAAAGGCAGGUGGAGCCCAGGCAGUGCAGUCUCAGAGCAUCAGAGAAGGACGAGGAGCAGAGAAAACCCUCAGUGAUGGCAGAGUGCCGGAGGCAAACAAGGCGGAGCUGAGUGGCCCUCAUGCAGCCCGGCCUCCAUGGAUAAUACCCAAGAUAGUGAUUGAAUCGCCAUCGAGCUCUGAGGGCAGCCUGCCUGGGAAGCCCGUCUACGACAGAUCCCUUUUGAUGCCACCACCACUCAGCUUCAAGCGCCAACAACGGUCCCGAGACAGGGCACAAAAGAGAAAACAAUCGGCCUUGUGAGCGUGGGGGUGCAUGGAAGGCUAUUGGAGCGAGAUGAACAGCAGGUGGAAGCAAGGCUGAGAACCAAGGGCAUCUCUAGAAGAGGAGGAGAGCAAAAGGAACGGCUCCUGGCUCCGGCUGGAUGAGCUCCUGCAUGCCUGCAUGCUUAGGGACUGCUUGUGGAAUGAAGGAGGGG
This 1441-nucleotide long non-coding RNA is filed under the name Coturnix japonica (Japanese quail). RNAcentral's name for it is "lncRNA (ENSCJPG00005006617.1)". The record is from RNAcentral. Lineage: Eukaryota; Metazoa; Chordata; Aves; Galliformes; Phasianidae.